GGGCGUCUAGUUGCAAGGUGUAGACCCGAAACCGGGUGAUCUAGCCAUGGGCAGGUUGAAGGUUGAGUAACAUCAACUGGAGGACCGAACCCACUAACGUUGCAAAGUUAGGGGAUGACCUGUGGCUGGGGGUGAAAGGCCAAUCAAACUCGGAGAUAGCUGGUUCUCCCCGAAAGCUAUUUAGGUAGCGCCUCGGACGAAUACUACUGGGGGUAGAGCACUGUUUGGGCUAGGGGGUCAUCCCGACUUACCAACCCCAUGCAAA
Molecule: ribosomal RNA, 265 nt
Filed under: Aeromonas enteropelogenes
Lineage: Bacteria; Pseudomonadati; Pseudomonadota; Gammaproteobacteria; Aeromonadales; Aeromonadaceae
Description: partial 23S ribosomal RNA
Rfam family: Bacterial large subunit ribosomal RNA
Source: RNAcentral